RNAcentral lists this ribosomal RNA (702 nucleotides) under uncultured Planctomycetaceae bacterium. RNAcentral describes it as "bacterial SSU rRNA". It matches the Rfam family "Bacterial small subunit ribosomal RNA", at positions 56 to 774 of the family's 1533-position model. The record is from RNAcentral. Lineage: Bacteria; Pseudomonadati; Planctomycetota; Planctomycetia; Planctomycetales; Planctomycetaceae.
UGCGAGUCGCGCGAGAUGUAGCAAUACAGGAAAGCGGCGGAAGGGAGAGGACAACAUGGGAAACUGCCCUGGGGACGAGGAUAGCGUCGGGAAACUGACGGUAAUACUCGAUAAUGUUUGCGGACCAAAGGUGUGAUUCCGCCCCAGGAUGUGCCCAUGCCCCAUUAGCUAGUUGGCGGUGUAAUGGACCACCAAGGCUAUGAUGGGUAGCUGGUGUGAGAGCACGACCAGCCUCACUGGCACUGAGACACUGGCCAGACACCUACGGGUGGCUGCAGUCGAGAAUCUUCGGCAAUGGACGAAAGUCUGACCGAGCGACGCCGCGUGCGGGAUGAAGGCCUUCGGGUUGUAAACCGCUGUCGAGGGGAAUCAAAUGCAAGGGGGUUCUCCCCCCUGCUUGAGAGAACCCUGGAGGAAGGGGAGGCUAAGCUCGUGCCAGCAGCCGCGGUAAGACGAGCUCCCCAAACGUUAUUCGGUAUCACUGGGCUUAAAGAGUUCGUAGGCGGCGAAGUAGGUGAGGUGUGAAAGCCCUCGGCUCAACCGAGGAACUGCGCUUCAAACCACUUUGCUAGAGGGAGAUAGGGGUAAGCGGAACAGAUGGUGGAGCGGUGAAAUGCAUUGAUAUCAUCUGGAACACCGGUGGCGAAAGCGGCUUACUGGGUCUUUUCUGACGCUGAGGAACGAAAGCUAGGGUAGCGAAAC